UACCCCUUGAGAUACAAACAAAAAAAAAGUGGUACAAACGGGUACAAACAAAGUACAAUCGCUCUACAUUAAGCAUUUUUAUUUCUUAUAAAGUUGUGCGCUUCACACCGUUCUGCGAAAUAGUAGAGAAAGGUUGGCGGUCAUGGAAUACAUCUAAAAAGUGCUGAAAUAUUAUAAUGUCUCAUAUAAAUCACAUUGAAUUCUAAAAACAACCGUUGUAAUUAUUUCGUUACAGUCUAUUUAGACAUUGUAGAAUGGUUACUGGUCAUUAGUAUUUGUUGUAUUUUUAUAAAAGCUGAAUUUCAGUUUUGCAGGUAGCAGAAAUGUUUACAGGUGUAUAUACUUUCUACGUAAUUUUGAGUAAUAUGUUACAUAUGUAGAAAUACGUUAAUUUUUUUAACUUAUUUUAGUUUGAAGGUCUUUAAUAUGAAUUUCGAAUUAAUAAAUUUAAUAAGUGUCGUAAUAUGUGUAUAAAUUUAGCAAAGUCAUGUUACAUAUGCAAAUUUACUGAAUUAAAAAGCUAAUUAUACAUUAAGUAAGAAAUUAUACAUUAAGUGUUAGCAUUAAGGUCUAGCUGUGAUUGUUUAGGCAUAUCGUUCACAUUGUAUUUUCAUAUUAUUGGUCCGAUAAGUUCUCUGUUUUUAGAGUGAUUUGUGUCUUAUUAUUAUUUUUUUUUUUUGUUAAUUUAAAACAUCAAGUAAAAAGCUUCACCGUCUUUUAAUCUUGAAAUUUAAAUGCAAAAAAUUGAGAUUUUUUUUAUUUGAAGUGUUCAAUUUUUGCAAAUUUUUCCAAUAAAAUUUGUUUAAAGAAUUGUAAUUACUUAAAAAUAAUAUAUCUUUUAUUUGAUUCUUGUUUGUAUCUAUCUUACUCGAUGGUAUUGAUUUUGCAUAUGCUAAAUUAAAAAAUAUACUUUCAGUACGGUGACAAAAUUACAAAGUACAAAGUAAGGAUGAGGGAGGGGGCAAAUAGUUACAAUUUAACUUCUUCUUUUUCUCGUAUCUAUUCUACUACCUAUCAUCAAGACAACAAUAGUUCUUAAAUAUCUAACUAUUUUUUAAAGAAGCGGUGAAACCAUAAAGCUGAAUAUUAUAACUAAAGGAGAAGCUUAAAAUUGUCUUCGUGAAAACAAGAUUAAAUCAGAGGAUUUUGUUUUGAUACUUUAAGGUGGAAAGUACCUUUUCAGUAAAAAAUCAUAUCUUAAAAACCUAAAAUCAGUUUACAGAAGAAAAAAAAAGAACUCCGUCACUUGCUCUCAUCUCUCUUACAAAGCAGACUUCGUGAUGAGAAAGGUAACUAAGGUAAUGUGACAAGCUAAGAUUAAAUAAGAUUUUAUUGGAUAAUUUUUUACAAGUUGCACAGAAAAUUUCCAUAUAUUAUUUUGUUAUUUUAAUAUACAGUAUUAAAUAUUAAACAUAUAAUAUUUAACACAUAAUUUAGGAUACAUUUGUAUAUAACAAUAAGAUACGCUUGUGAACAAUAUAGGAACUAUGUUGGAAAAAGUAUCUUAUAAAAGGCACCAUAAGUAUUAUCAUUUAUAAUCUGUUUAAGCUAACUGGUCAAUGUAACAUUUCUAGAUACCAAAGUAUAAAGCGUGGAAUUAAGCGUAACCGUACAAAUACAAAAAGUAUACAUUAUUAGUGUAUAAAGUAAUUUUAUCUUAAAUAUAAUUCAUAUUAAAAACAACUUACAUCAGGUUUAUCAUGUGACCCGUAUUUCAAGUUUUAAUAGAAUAUAAAUUAAAAUUUUAUUAUUGUAUAAAAGCUACGAUAUAAGAAA
Solenopsis invicta (red fire ant) is the source of this 1776-nucleotide long non-coding RNA. RefSeq lists it as uncharacterized. The record is from RefSeq and is a predicted model, not a curated record. Lineage: Eukaryota; Metazoa; Arthropoda; Insecta; Hymenoptera; Formicidae. The transcript is spliced from 2 exons.